CCUACGGGGGGCAGCAGUGGGGAAUAUUGGACAAUGGGGGGAACCCUGAUCCAGCGACGCCGCGUGAGUGAAGAAGUAUUUCGGUAUGUAAAGCUCUAUCAGCAGGGAAGAAAGAUAUGACGGUCCCUGACUCAGAAGCCCCGGCUAACUACGUGCCCGCAGCCGCGGUAAUACGUAGGGGGCAAGCGUUAUCCGGUUUUACUGGGUGUAAAGGGAGCGUAGACGGCGAUGCAAGUCUGAAGUGAACGGCGGGGGCCCAACCCCCGGACUGCUUUGGAAACUGUAUGGCUGGAGUGAAGGAGAGGUAAGUGGAAUUCCUAGUGUAGCGGUGAAAUGCGUAGAUAUUAGGAGGAACACCAGUGGCGAAGGCGGCUUACUGGACUGUAACUGACGUUGAGGCUCGAAAGCGUGGGGAGCAAACAGGAUUAGAUACCCUGGUAGUC
RNAcentral lists this ribosomal RNA (443 nucleotides) under uncultured bacterium. Its description in RNAcentral is "partial 16S ribosomal RNA". It matches the Rfam family "Bacterial small subunit ribosomal RNA", at positions 338 to 795 of the family's 1533-position model. The record is from RNAcentral.